Molecule: long non-coding RNA, 516 nt
Filed under: Lynx canadensis (Canada lynx)
Lineage: Eukaryota; Metazoa; Chordata; Mammalia; Carnivora; Felidae
Description: lncRNA (ENSLCNG00005002753.1)
Source: RNAcentral
CCGGGGUGGCCGUCAGUCAUCACAGGCCUGUUUGGUCCCAAUAUCCUUGUUUUGCAAAGAGCAGUUCCUGAAAUCUCGCCGACUCGAGCUUUGCUCAUCUUUGAUUGGGGCAUUUUCAGCCGCUGAGGCCAAAAAUAACAAACACAGGCGGUGCCUUGCUGAGCACGGCCCCCGUUCUGGCCCUUUCUGUGUGGCCGGUGGCAGCUGGGUUGCCAGGCUCCAGGCUCGCGGAGUCUGUCUCCAUCCCCGAUGCAUCUGUCCUCAGACCCGGGCGUGCCGACGGGCAUGUCCAGCCCGACCUUCCGGGUUCCUAGACCCGGGUGGGGCUCAGGGACAUGGGCCCCGGAGGGUGCGUGCUGCCCCGUCUGUUUGCCUGUCUGGAAAAUUGCAUUAGGCCGGGUCACAUCUGCAUCACACAGGUACAGCCACGACCAGGGGUUGGAGGGGGCAGGACGCAGCUUCAUGUACUCUCCCCUGUGGCAGCUCCAAGCCUGUGCCCCGUCCCCGGCGCCAGGA